UACAGAGGGGGCAAGCGUUGUUCGGAAUUACUGGGCGUAAAGGGCGCGUAGGCGGCCAACUAAGUCAGACGUGAAAUCCCACGGCUCAACCGUGGAACUGCGUCUGAUACUGGAUGGCUUGAAUCCGGGAGAGGGAUGUGGAAUUCCAGGUGUAGCGGUGAAAUGCGUAGAUAUCUGGAGGAACACCGGUGGCGAAGGCGGCAUCCUGGACCGGUAUUGACGCUGAGGCGCGAAAGCCAGGGGAGCGAACGGG
Molecule: ribosomal RNA, 253 nt
Filed under: uncultured bacterium
Lineage: Bacteria
Description: partial 16S ribosomal RNA
Rfam family: Bacterial small subunit ribosomal RNA
Source: RNAcentral